CAUUACGUUGCAUACAACAACAAC
Molecule: ribosomal RNA, 24 nt
Filed under: Antipathozoanthus remengesaui
Lineage: Eukaryota; Metazoa; Cnidaria; Anthozoa; Zoantharia; Parazoanthidae
Description: partial 18S ribosomal RNA
Source: RNAcentral